This 497-nucleotide ribosomal RNA is filed under the name uncultured bacterium. RNAcentral's name for it is "partial 16S ribosomal RNA". It matches the Rfam family "Bacterial small subunit ribosomal RNA", at positions 28 to 507 of the family's 1533-position model. The record is from RNAcentral.
GAUGAACGCUGGCGGCGUGCCUAAUACAUGCAAGUCGAGCGAACGGACGAGAAGCUUGCUUCUCUGAUGUUAGCGGCGGACGGGUGAGUAACACGUGGAUAACCUACCUAUAAGACUGGGAUAACUUCGGGAAACCGGAGCUAAUACCGGAUGAUAUUUUGAACCGCAUGGUUCAAAAGUGAAAGACGGUCUUGCUGUCACUUAUAGAUGGAUCCGCGCUGCAUUAGCUAGUUGGUAAGGUAACGGCUUACCAAGGCAACGAUGCAUAGCCGACCUGAGAGGGUGAUCGGCCACACUGUAACUGAGACACGGUCCAGACUCCUACGGGAGGCAGCAGUAGGGAAUCUUCCGCAGUGGGCGAAAGCCUGACGGAGCAACGCCGCGUGAGUGAUGAAGGUCUUCGGAUCGUAAAACUCUGUUAUUAGGGAAGAACAUAUGUGUAAGUAACUGUGCACAUCUUGACGGUACCUAAUCAGAAAGCCACGGCUAACUACGUG